GGCUCUGUAGUCCAGUGGUAAAGCGCUCGUUCGCCUGCCAGUGGGUCUUGGGUUCGAUCCCCAACAGGAUCG
This 72-nucleotide transfer RNA is filed under the name Schistosoma japonicum. RNAcentral's name for it is "tRNA-OTHER". The record is from RNAcentral. Lineage: Eukaryota; Metazoa; Platyhelminthes; Trematoda; Strigeidida; Schistosomatidae.